AUCCCGCUUUUACAAUGUAAAGGGUGGUCCUGAGGUCGCCAUUUUGUGUGAUGGCGAAAACUUGCAUAGUGGUUGUGGACUUUCAGUUAACUGGAAGCGUGGGAUUUGUUUGCAUGCAUGUCGACCUGUGUGAAACGUACAGUAUAGCACACCCAAGCAGGGCAACAUAAUCUGACUGGGUCGGUAUUGUCGGAAAUAUCAAAGUCCAAGUUGGGGCCCUCAAGCCAUCCACACAUGUUGGGUUGUCUUUAGAAAACUGUCUGGUUUUUUUGCGUCAUAUUCAAGGCGUUUGUCUAGUUCCAAUAAGGCAUUACGUUUGACACACUUAAAACUGAGCAAGUAAAGGUAAACUUUAUUUACAAAUAGAGUCGUAACACUGCGAUAAAAACGUGUUUCGCACGACUAUAUUACUGUCUUUUUUUUUAUAUCGAUUCUUGUAUCAAAUGAAAAUGGAGGAGGGGGAAGUCUCGGGUAAAGCAACUCGCUAAAAUGUUGUUGGUAAAAUGGAGGCGUUUCCUUGCUGAGGUCUGCGUUCAUUACCAUGGCAUUUACUGGCUUGGUAGUGGCUGUUUGUUGCGGGGUUUCCCAAGUAGUGCUUGCAGGGGCUCUUACAUCUUGCGCAAACGCGUAUCCGCUCAUAAAAGGCGACUGAGUACUCCCACCUUGUUUCCAUGGAAGGAGAACUGAGUGACUGGAGGAGAAGCCGAGAUACUUCACUUAGAAAUUCGCGUGUGUUUCGUACUUUUUCUUUUUUGUCAAAACAAUACUACAGCCAUGCCGCUUUAGAGUCUUUAAGAAACCGAUGGUGAAUGGACAAUGACGCUCUUAAGUAAAAACAGACAAAGAAAAGUAACGUCUACAAACAUGGUUCAAUGUCUGCAGUCACCGGGCACAUCCCAGCCUGCAGGAAUUUUAAGGCACAUAGAAUAUACAUAUUUUCAUUUGAACUGUACAACAUAUAACAAUAAACAGUUUUUAAUUAAA
This is a long non-coding RNA of Xenopus laevis (African clawed frog), 984 nucleotides long. RefSeq lists it as uncharacterized. Lineage: Eukaryota; Metazoa; Chordata; Amphibia; Anura; Pipidae. The record is from RefSeq and is a predicted model, not a curated record. The transcript is spliced from 2 exons.